AAGAACAAAAUACCUAGGUAUACAGCUAACUAGGGCGGUGAAAGAUCUCCACAAGGAGAACUACAAAAUACUGCUCAAGGAAAUCAGAAAUGACACAAACAAAUGGAAAAACAUUCCAUGCACAUGGAUAGGAAGAAUCAAUAUUGUUAAAAUGGCCAUACUGCCCAAAGCAAUUUAUAGAUUCAAUGCUAUUCCUUUUAAGCUACCAUUCAGAUUCUUCACAGAACUAAAAUAAAAAACAACAACAAAAAAAACUUUUAAAAUUCAUAUGGAACCAAAAAAUAGUCUGAAUAGCCAAGGCUAAGCUAAAAGAACAAAGCUGGAGGUAUCACACUACUCAACUUCAAACUAUACAACAGGCCUAUAGUAACCAAAACAGCAUGGUACUGAUACAAAAACAGGCAUAUAGACCAAUGGAACAGAAUAGAAAACUGAUAUGGUUGGCUCUGUGUCCCCCCCAAAUCUCAUCUCAAAUUGUAAUCCCCAUGUGUCAGAGGAGGGGCCUGGUGGGAGGUGACAGGAUCAUGGGGAUGGAUACCCCCUUGCUGUUCUCAUGACAGUGAGUGCUUAUAUAUCUGAUGGUUUAAAGGUGUGGCACUUCCCCUUUCACUCUCUCUCCUGCUGCCAUGUAAGAUGUGUCUUGCUUCCCCUUCACCUUCUGCCAUGAUUGUAAGUUUCCUGGUGCCUCCCCAGCCAUGCAGAACUGUGAGUCAAUUAAACCUCUUUUCUUUAUAAAUUCCCCAAUCUCAGGUAUGUCUUUAUAGCAAUGUGAGAAUGAACUAGUAAGAACUCAGAACUAAGACCACACACCCACAACUAUCUGAUCUUUGACAAACCUGACAAAAACAAGCAAUGGGGAAAGGAUUCCAUAUUCAAUAAAUGGUGCUAGAAUAACUGGUUAGCCAUAUGCAGAAGAUUGAAACUGGACCCCUUCCUUACACCACAUAUAAAAUUCAACUCAAGAUGAAUUAAAGACUUAAAUGUAAAACCAAAAACUAUAAAAACCCUAAAAGACAACCUAGGCAAUGCCAUCCAGGACAUAGGCACGGUCAAAGGUUUCGUAAUGAAAAUGCCAAAAGCAAUUGCAACAAAAGCAAAAGUUAACAAAUGGGAUCUAAGUAAAUUAAAGAGCUUCUG
RNAcentral lists this long non-coding RNA (1137 nucleotides) under Macaca fascicularis (crab-eating macaque). Its description in RNAcentral is "lncRNA (ENSMFAG00000055457.1)". Lineage: Eukaryota; Metazoa; Chordata; Mammalia; Primates; Cercopithecidae. The record is from RNAcentral.